Molecule: ribosomal RNA, 422 nt
Filed under: uncultured prokaryote
Description: bacterial SSU rRNA
Rfam family: Bacterial small subunit ribosomal RNA
Source: RNAcentral
UGAGGAAUAUUGGUCAAUGGGGGGAACCCUGAACCAGCCAUCCCGCGUGCAGGAAGACAGUUCUAUGGAUUGUAAACUGCUUUUCUAGGGGAAGAAUAAUGACGACGCGUCGUCAGAUGACGGUACCCGAGGAAUAAGCAUCGGCUAACUCCGUGCCAGCAGACGCGGUAAUACGGAGGAUGCAAGCGUUAUCCGGAUUUAUUAGGUUUAAAGGGUGGGUAGGCGGAUGUAUAAGUCAGUGGUGAAAGUCAGCAGCUUAACUGUAGAAUUGCCAUUGAUACUAUAUGUCUUGAGUGUAGUAGAGGUAUGCGGAAUAUGUAAUGUAGCGGUGAAAUGCAUAGAUAUGACACAGAACACCGAUUGCGAAGGCAGCAUGCUAAGCCACAACUGACGCUGAUGCACGAAAGCGUGGGGAUCAAACA